This 24-nucleotide ribosomal RNA is filed under the name Inocybe soluta. Its description in RNAcentral is "partial 18S ribosomal RNA". The record is from RNAcentral. Lineage: Eukaryota; Fungi; Basidiomycota; Agaricomycetes; Agaricales; Inocybaceae.
AGGUGAACCUGCGAAGGAUCAUUA